AUAUAUCAACCCUCUUCAGCUUUUUUGUAUGUCGAGUGUUGGAUGUGGGGGCUUUUGCUGGACUCUCUCUUGAGGUCAGCUCUCCUAAAAUACAUUAGCAAAACAAUUUGUUUACUGCUCAUUGGUGUGAUAACUAUCUACGCUAUUGACGGUAAAGCACAGUUUAGCUUCUAGCAGUCCAUUGACUUGGACAACCUUUUAUCA
This 204-nucleotide unclassified non-coding RNA is filed under the name uncultured Cortinarius. RNAcentral describes it as "sequence contains ITS2". The record is from RNAcentral. Lineage: Eukaryota; Fungi; Basidiomycota; Agaricomycetes; Agaricales; Cortinariaceae.